UGAUCUAGAAGUAAAGGCUGAAAAAUAAAUUACGAUAAAAACAUCACAAUCAAUUUCACAUUUAAGGUUAAAAAUUCAAACUUUUGAAAAUAAGCAUAAGCGUGGGAUAUCUGUAUUGGGGUAUCCAUAGACUAAUUUUUCUUGAGAUUGAUCCAACAUCCAUAGACUCGAUAUCGAAGAACAUCACAGAAUCAUAAGAUUCUAACAUACCAUAACAAAAUCGUUAUCCGUAGAUCAACAAUAAAAUCCAAGCAAACAAAGGGGAUGAUGAUGAAUGUGGCUCGCCAUGGGUGAAAUCCGUUUGCCUAUCCACCACUGUAGAGCAGUCUCCCAUGAGUGGAUGCCAGAUCUAACCGUAAUGAGCUCAUGGUAUGGGUGGAUGCCGAGGAAGGAAGUUGGGGCCCUCUAGAUGACGAGGAGGGCAUCGAUGGUAUACUGAUAGAG
Molecule: long non-coding RNA, 444 nt
Filed under: Oryza brachyantha (malo sina)
Lineage: Eukaryota; Viridiplantae; Streptophyta; Magnoliopsida; Poales; Poaceae
Description: long non-coding RNA (OBRA_LNC001346)
Source: RNAcentral